GGAAUUCGUGGAUGCCUUGGCGCAUACAGGCGAUGAAGGACGUGGCACGCUGCGAUAAGCUGCGGUGAGGUGUGAGCAACCUUUGACCCGCAGAUUUCCGAAUGGGGAAACCCACUCAUCCUGAUUAUCUAGCCUAUUGGGCUAGGUAAUUGGGACUAUGAGUAUCUCGAUACUGAAUACAUAGGUUUCGAGAAGCGAACCCGGGGAACUGAAACAUCUCAGUACCUGGAGGAAAAGACAUCAACCGAGAUUCCGUUAGUAGUGGCGAGCGAACGCGGACCAGGCCAGUGCCAUCUAUUCAACUAGCAGAACGAUCUGGAAAGUUCGGCCGUAGCGGGUGACAGCCCCGUAUGCGAAAGUGAUGUGGAUGGACUCGAGUAGGGCGGGACACGUGUAAUCCUGUCUGAACAUGGGGGGACCACCCUCCAAGCCUAAAUACUCGUAUGCG
Molecule: ribosomal RNA, 448 nt
Filed under: Cereibacter sphaeroides
Lineage: Bacteria; Pseudomonadati; Pseudomonadota; Alphaproteobacteria; Rhodobacterales; Paracoccaceae
Description: bacterial LSU rRNA
Rfam family: Bacterial large subunit ribosomal RNA
Source: RNAcentral